Molecule: ribosomal RNA, 98 nt
Filed under: Notechis scutatus (mainland tiger snake)
Lineage: Eukaryota; Metazoa; Chordata; Lepidosauria; Squamata; Elapidae
Source: RNAcentral
GUCUGUAGCCAAUGUUAGCUGAACAUGAAAGUUAAGCAUAUCAACCCUAGUUAGUAUUUGGAUGGGAGACCCACUGGGUAAUACUAGGGUUGAAGGCU